This 341-nucleotide ribosomal RNA is filed under the name uncultured Bacillota bacterium. Its description in RNAcentral is "bacterial SSU rRNA". It matches the Rfam family "Bacterial small subunit ribosomal RNA", at positions 28 to 351 of the family's 1533-position model. The record is from RNAcentral. Lineage: Bacteria; Bacillati; Bacillota.
GAUGAACGCUGGCGGCGUGCUUAACACAUGCAAGUCGAGCGGAGUUUUUCCGUGAAUCCCCUUCGGGGGUGAAGCGGAAAAACUUAGCGGCGGACGGGUGCGUAACGCGUGGGUAAUCUGCCCUUGUCACCGGGAUAACACAUCGAAAGGUGUGCUAAUACCGGAUGAUAUACAGACUCGGCAUCGAGACUGUAUCAAAGUCAUGCGGACAAGGAUGAGACUGCGUCUGAUUAGCUUGUUGGUGGGGUAAAAGCCUACCAAGGCGACGAUCAGUAGCCGACCUGAGAGGGUGAUCGGCCACACUGGAACUGAGACACGGUCCAGACUCCUACGGGAGGCUG